Molecule: long non-coding RNA, 2401 nt
Organism: Oncorhynchus tshawytscha (Chinook salmon)
Lineage: Eukaryota; Metazoa; Chordata; Actinopteri; Salmoniformes; Salmonidae
Source: Ensembl
GAGACAGAGACAGAGACAGAGAGAGAGAGAGGAGACAGAGACAGAGACAGAGAGACAGAGAGAGAGAGACAGAGACAGAGAGAGAGAGAGAGAGACAGUGACAGAGAGAGAGACAGAGAGAGAAAGAGAGACAGAGUGUGUGUGUGUGUGUGUGUGUGUGUGUGUGUGGUACGUUUAGUGUUAUCCACCAGUCUGUAAUCGCUAUGUUGACUGAUGCAGAAACAGAAACCCUGCCACACACACACACACACACAACCAAACACACACACACACAACCAAACACACACACACACAACCAAACACACACAACCAAACACACACACAACCAAACACACACACACCAAACACACAACCAAACACACAACCAAACACACACACACACACACACACACACACACACACACACACACACACACAACACACACACACACAACCAAACACACACACAUCAACAACCAAACACACACACAUCAACAACCAAACACACACACAUCAACAACCAAACACUAGGAUAAAGACCACCUCCAUUCCUGUCAUUAUUGAAAGAGAUCAUGAUACCUCACAUCUCAAAAUAGGGCUACUUAAUGUUAGAUCCCUUACUUCAAAGGCAAUUAUAGUCAAUGAACUAAUCACUGAUCAUAAUCUUGAUGUGAUUGGCCUGACUGAAACAUGGCUUAAGCCUGAUGGAUUUACUGUGUUACAGUUUUUUUGGAUUGCUUACACACUAAAAUUAAAAGUAGUACACUAUUAGCAAAACCUUACACUCAAGAAGCAAAACAUCAGCCCAUAUUUGCACAACUAGAAGCACAUUGUCAACCUCACACUUGUUGCAAAACUCUACACACAGUGAUUUGCAAAACACUAAACACACUUAACAUACAUUACACACAAACAUCUAUCAUGAAGUCACGUCCUUGCAAUACUGACUGUCAGAUUACCACACCCUCCAACCUAUUGGUUCAACACAGUCAUCAGGUGUGCAAACACUCGUUUGCUUAAUUGUAGACACACCAAUCAGGUGUAUUAGCACUAUAAAAAGCAGCAGGUGAGUUCAUCGGCCUUCAAGCACAAUGGAAAGAGUCAGAGAAAGAAGAGGAGGAGGACGAGGAGAACGAGGAGAACGAGGAGGACGAGGAGAACGAGGAGAACGAGGUCUGACAAAUGAGAUCCGCGCAACACUGGUUGACCACGUUGUCAACCACGGCCUGACGCUGAGGGAGGCUGGACUGCGAGUACAGCCAAAUCUAAGCUGAUAUACAGUGGCAAGUGUGAUUGAGAACAUUUAGACUGGAAAAUAGGUAUUGUAAAAAUAUCAUCAUAUCAAAAACAUCUGCACGGUUUCAGUAACUGCUUACAGUACUGUAUUCUAUGCACUAUCAGCACUUCUGUUACCUUUUCCUGUGAAAUUACUGUACUAUUGUAUACUGUUUUUUUCUACACAGGAUUGAGGGUCAGGGACGACAAGGGGGAAGGCCUCCUAUGUUCACAGAACAGCAAGAGAGGGAGAUAGUAAACAUGGUUUUGGCCAACAAUGCUAUAACACUGAAGCAGCUCCAAGCUAACAUGGUCAAUAACCAUGCCCUUUUCAACGACAUCCAUCAGGUCUCAACAGCAACACUGGCACGCAUCCUACAGAAACAAACAUAUUCAAAUGAAGCAAAUUUAUCGAGUGCCUUUCGAGCGUAAUUCUGAAAGGGUGAAACGACUGCGGCAUGAUUAUGCAGAGAGAGUUUUACGAAUGGAUGGAGAGGAGAUCCAGCAUGAGUUCAUUUACGUAGAUGAGGCUGGGUUCAACCUGACGAGAACACGAAGGAGGGGAAGAAACAUCAUUGGCCACAGGGCUAUAGUCAAUGUCCCAGGGCAACGUGGGGGUAAUAUAACACUCUGUGCAGCCAUUACACAGAAUGGGGUCCUCCACCGCCAUGCCCAUAUGGGCCCUUACAACACAGCACUCAUACUUACAUUCUUGGACCAAUUGCACAACAUAAGAGCAGCAAAUCAAAUCAAUCAUAUGCAAUACAUUGUUGUCUGGGACAAUGUGUCUUUCCACCGCUCUGCUCUGGUUCAGAUCUGGUUUCAUCAACAUCCACAUUUCACCGUCCUAUAUCUUCCACCAUACUCUCCAUUCCUCAACCCUAUAGAAGAGUUUUUCUCGGCAUGGCGGUGGAAGGUAUAUGAUCUCCGUCUCCAGGCUGAGGUACCCCUCAUCCAAGCCAUGGAGGAGGCCUGUGACCAGACGGAGGUAGCAAAUCAAAUCAAAUCAAAUCAAAUUGAUUUAUAUAGCCCUUCGUACAUCAGCUGAUAUCUCAAAGUGCUGUACAGAAACCCAGCCUAAAACCCCAAACAGCAAGCAAUGCAGGUGUAGAAGCACGGUGGCUAGGAAAAACUCCCUAAAAAGGCC